This is a long non-coding RNA of Manis javanica (Malayan pangolin), 435 nucleotides long. RefSeq lists it as uncharacterized. The record is from RefSeq and is a predicted model, not a curated record. NCBI's taxonomy places the organism in Eukaryota, Metazoa, Chordata, Mammalia, Pholidota, Manidae.
CAGGGAAUCUGCAAAUUAUUUCCAAGAAGAAAUGAAAGAGGUUGGGGGAUGGGGAGGUGAAGCUUCAGCAGCAUGAGCCCCUGGCCAGUCCGUGCUGUUUCCUCCCUCCAGACAGAGAUCUGCAUGGCAUACUCACCGGGAAAAUCAUACUCUUGCUUCCUGACCCCAUGGAAUUAAAAACCUGGGCUGCCAUGUUGGCAAGGAUUUUCAGUCUUGGUUACUGGGACACAGGAAGGAGACUGAAAUGGAGAAUAAGCACUGAACCCAGAGCUAGAAGACCUCAGUUCAAAGCACAACUUCAGCCUCUGCCAACUUUGUGACUGGACUAGUUAAUACAUUUCUGUAAAUACCUCAUAGCUUUAAAAAGGGAGGGGGUGAGUAAUAAUGCCUUCCAGGGGUGUCAUCCAGGAAAUCUUGUAAUCAAAAAUAAAUGGA